AUGCAUAGGAAUCUACCUAGUAGUAUGGGAUAGCCACUAGAAAUGGUGGGUAAUACUGUAUAAUCCCUGCGGGGGAAAGAUUUAUCGCUAUUAGAUGAGCCUAUGUUAGAUUAGCUAGUUGGUGGGGUAAUGGCCUACCAAGGCAGUGAUCUAUAGCUGGUCUGAGAGGAUGAUCAGCCACACUGGAACUGAGACACGGUCCAGACUCCUACGGGAGGCAGCAGUGGGGAAUAUUGGACAAUGGGCGCAAGCCUGAUCCAGCUAUGCCGCGUGAGUGAGGAAGGCCUUAGGGUUGUAAAACUCUUUCAGUAGGGAAGAUAAUGACGGUACCUA
This 333-nucleotide ribosomal RNA is filed under the name Anaplasma phagocytophilum. RNAcentral's name for it is "bacterial SSU rRNA". It matches the Rfam family "Bacterial small subunit ribosomal RNA", at positions 113 to 481 of the family's 1533-position model. The record is from RNAcentral. Lineage: Bacteria; Pseudomonadati; Pseudomonadota; Alphaproteobacteria; Rickettsiales; Anaplasmataceae.